CCUACGGGAGGCAGCAGUGAGGAAUAUUGGUCAAUGGACGAGAGUCUGAACCAGCCAAGUAGCGUGAAGGAUGACUGCCCUAUGGGUUGUAAACUUCUUUUAUAAAGGAAUAAAACGAGGCACGUGUGCCUUUUUGCAUGUACUUUAUGAAUAAGGAUAGGCUAACUCCGUGCCAUCAGCCGCGGUAAUACGGAGGAUCCGAGCGUUAUCCGGAUUUAUUGGGUUUAAAGGGAGCGUAGAUGGGUUGGUAAGUCAGUUGUGAAAGUUUGCGGCUCAACCGUAAAAUUGCAAUUGUUACUGGCAGUCUUGAGUACAGUUGAGGUAAGCGGAAUUCGUGGUGUAGCGGUGAAAUGCUUAGAUAUCACGAAGAACCCCGAUUGCGAAGGCAGCUUACUAAACUGUGACUGACAUUGAUGCUCGAAAGUGUGGGUAUCAAACAGGAUUAGAUACCCUAGUAGUC
This 460-nucleotide ribosomal RNA is filed under the name uncultured bacterium. RNAcentral describes it as "partial 16S ribosomal RNA". It matches the Rfam family "Bacterial small subunit ribosomal RNA", at positions 338 to 795 of the family's 1533-position model. The record is from RNAcentral.